GGGGGCGUACUGGUUUCGACGUGGAUAUGAAGCCCAAGGGGCAUGCCGAGGCGCAGAUUACCUCGUAAAUACAACUGCAAACUUUAUAGUUGCCAACGAAGACAACUACGCACUAGCUGCUUAAUAACCAGUCAUAGUGCCGUCUGACUGAUGAUGUGCUUGUGCACUCAGAUCCAGGCGUCGACUCACACAAGAUCGCGAUGAAACUUGUUCGAGGUGGAUUCGUUAAAUUUUUUCGAAAUCGCUUUCUGUUUUCCCUGCCAUUCGGGUAGCAGAAAGUUAAAUUAAUAGAAUAGGCUAAGCAUGUAGAACCGACGGUAGAGAAUUUGCGGACGCGGGUUCGAUUCCCGCCGCCUCCACCA
This 362-nucleotide transfer-messenger RNA is filed under the name Gammaproteobacteria (g-proteobacteria). Its description in RNAcentral is "UBA11869 sp913045195 Standard tmRNA". It matches the Rfam family "transfer-messenger RNA". From Rfam's summary of the family: Bacterial tmRNA, also known as 10Sa RNA or SsrA, is named for its dual tRNA and mRNA-like properties. Its role is to liberate the mRNA from a stalled ribosome. Lineage: Bacteria; Pseudomonadati; Pseudomonadota. The record is from RNAcentral.